UUCUCAUUUGUGUUUCUCAUUCUGGUUUCAUUUAGAAAACCUUAAAUGUCUAUAACAGGUGCACAAACUGCAGCUUUAUUAUUUUUUUUUUUAAUUUAACAGUAGGUUUCAAUGUAAAAAGGUACAUUGAAUUGUUCCAGUCUAAUUUGGUUACAUGACAGAUGAGUUUUUGAGCCUCAAUCUUGUCAGGUGUUUUUUUGAGGUGAUUCUUGUUUCAGCAGGAAAGGCUAUAGAAAGUGCUUACUCUGUCGGAAGGUUUUGUGAGGAAUCUUACUAAAGGUAUUUUAGGUCCCUGUGGAAUUGGAGAAAGGAAAAUAUACUGUAUUUUGAGUAUCCAGGAAGGAUUUAUGAGUUUAGGAUCUCUUAGCAGUUUUAUCAGGUCUAUGGUGUUUAUCAGUUUUAAAUGCAUAACUCUUGAAAAUACUUGUAAGGCAAGUACACUUGUCCAGAUAAUUUACUUGUCAGAAUGGAACUUGUGAAGAAAAUAAGUUACUAAUUAAUGUUUUGCAUUUAUGUACUUUUAAAUUUUAUUCGCAUUUGAAGACUUGCUGCUUACAAAAUGAUAGUUCUUAAAUCAGAAGUAUAGAGUUGUGAAAAGAUAUGUCUGUUUAUCUGUAGUGUUUGACAAUAUGAAGUCAAGCCUUACAGCUGUCACUCAUCCUUAAGUCCAUAUUUAUCUUUGAGUUUCAGCACUACUUAGAAACAAGCAAAGGUUCUGAAUUUCUGUAGUAAAAAACCUGUUUGCUCUAGUCUCCAUGUGAAAGCCAAAAUAUUUGCAGAAGGCUUUAAAGCUUUUCUCUGCUGCAGAAUUGCAUGUAAGACAGAAGUUGUCAUUGUCAGGAGUUGCUGAGUGCCAGAGAGAAAUAUCUGCAGGCAUCAUGGUUAUUUUUUUUUCCAAAGUUGUCUUGAAAGACAGCAUUUAAUGGAAAAAUACGAACUGAAUCUUAGUUGAUUCUUUUCUAAAAUAGUGUUUCUCCAUUUCAGACAUUUAAAAUUCACAUUUAAAAUUAUGAAAGCACUCUUUGAGCCUCAUUUUCUGAAAGUUUUGUUGUGAAGUGAGCACGUAUGUGCCAAACCUUAGUUUGCAAGUAUCUGGCACAUGUAUAUUUAUACGUUAAUAAGAUGCCUCCAAGCAUGUUUACAUUCAUGGUCUUUUUUGAAGCUACUGAAGUACACGAAUAUGGUAAGCAUUAAUAUAUUGGAAUUCUCAAAAUUCUGUCUGUUUUCUGUCUGUGUAUGGCAUGCUUUGCAGUUAGGAGGGCUAUUUUAUUUGUAUCUUCACCUGCACUUAUAUAUUAUGACCAGUUGAUUGGUGUGUUUUUUCUUGCUGUUGUCACACUUACCCAAACAGUUGUCUCUGGACUGUGACCAAAGGAGAUUUUUCAUACCUGUUUAUUUUUAAGUAGAAAUCAAAUCAGUUGGCUUUUAAAGUAUUAAUUCCUAUGGAGCGUGGUGUAACACUGCUAAUUACUCUCUUCCUUUUUGCAGUAUUGAUGUACAGAGAAUCAUUUAGCUUGACCAUGAGUUGUAUCUGUUGAAUGUAGUUGACUUUAAAUGUCUGAAUUUUAAGCAUUUUUUUUAAAUUGAAAAUACUCCUGAUGAGGACUCUGAAAAGAAAAAAGAUUUGAUGUUUUUAUGUCAAAAUACAUAAAGUGAGUGUUUUGCAAUGAGAUAAGAAUCUUUUGAAGAUGCUUUUUAGAUGUUUUCCUCUGUCACUGUCUUAAAUCAAGACUCUUUAAAAAGGAAAAAUCAAAACCAAAACAGUCUCUUGAUGACUUAAACCUUACAAUCUUUUGAAAACUGAAAGGAAAUCUGGUGCUUUUACUUAAUUUGCUUGCAUAUUGCCAGACUGAUUUAAGAAUAGUUGUUUCAAGAAGCAAAUUAAAUCUGUUAUUUCAAUGAAGCAUUGCUAUUUGUGAUUUUAUAAAAUAUUCCAUUUACAAAAAUUGUCUAGCAACAGGAUGUUAACCUGAUACUAUAUUUGUUGUUAUCAGGGUAACUAUUGUGUGUAUGCUUUCUGAGCUGAGUAAGUGUUCACUUUGUAAAUUUGCAUUAAGGCUACAGCUGUUACCAGCGAGGUUCCCUAGGGCCAGCACAAUGAGUUUAUGAGCUGAAGCUCCUGGUGCUUGACCCCUUUUUGUCUACAGUAGUAAAAAAAGUGUGUAAGUCUGCGCAAUACAGCUCGUGUUACAAAUUUCCAUGUUAAGCACACAGCUAUGCUGACAAGCAGAAACAUAUCUGAACAUGCUUGUCUGGAGUAAAGCAACCUCUCUGACUUCUCAGCAGGAGCUGUAACUUGGUGGCACAUUGGCAAAGAGGAAGCAGAAAUAGGUUUUGCUCUUCCCUGAGCAGCUGUUAAACUGAACACGGCGUGUGCUUCCUGUGCAGUAGGGUAUCUGAACUCCUUAGAGCCCUGAGAAUUUUAAUAGCAUUCAGAAGAUACAGAAGCACUUGGCUGCUUUGCCACUUCUUGCUUUCGUACUUGUAGUUUUGCAAAAGCUUGAAGUGAUGUAUUUAUUAAAAUUGAAUCUAUGUAGUCAACAACUGUAUAAGCACUGCUUUGUAAUAUCUUUACGGAGAUAUCAAAUUCCUACACAAUUAUAUUUAAACUGUUUUGGGAAAAUGAAUAAUGACACUGUGGGCACAAAUUAAUUCAGAUUGCACUAUAAACUUUCUUACCAGAAGCCUUCAUUCUUACAGAGAACUAUGCGAUCCCUACACAGAAACUGUAGCUUUGGUGGUGCGCUCUUUGGUAGAUGUCCAAAAAAGCGGCAUCCAGACGGUCCCUGGACCUUUUCUGACAUUCCAGUUGAAGGGGCCUGGCAGGCCCACGGGGCACUCGAGGAGUUGGCUGGCAAGCGCACCAUGCCGAGCGUCACCCCAUGCCAGCACCUUGUAUAACUCUGCUGGUCUAGGUCUCCCCCAGCUUAGAUGGUUUUUAACUCACUGCAGCUUAAAUGUUUCUCCACCCUGCCUAAUUUGUCUUUGUUAUUUGGUUGCCAAAAUGUCUUGCAUCUUAAUAGAGUAAGAAAAUAAUGUGAUUUAUGGCUACCCAACCAGUGUAUUAAGUAAUAGACGGCUCUGUUUUAAUAAACGGGGUAUAA
Molecule: long non-coding RNA, 3104 nt
Organism: Taeniopygia guttata (zebra finch)
Lineage: Eukaryota; Metazoa; Chordata; Aves; Passeriformes; Estrildidae
Source: Ensembl